CAAUCGACGCCCUCCUCUUCCUCCGCAACCAGGCCCUCGGCCCGACCGACAUCUGGCUCGGAUCCCGCGCGGACUUCUCGAACAUCUUCAUCAUGGGCUGCAGCGCCGGCGACAACAUCGCCUUCCAUGGGUCGCUUUGGAUUUUGAAUUUUAGCUCGGUCUUAUCUGUUGAGUGAGAUGAAGGAAGAAGGGGAUGAAGCAAGCAAUAAUAAUAGCAGUUAUUAUUCAUGGAAGCAAUCUCUGCCUCAUGUUUUGGUGGCUACAAUAUCUUCCUUUUUAUUUGGUUAUCAUCUAGGGUACGAUUAACUAAAUAACGAUUUUAAUUGAAGGAAUUUUGUGCUGUUUAAUCCUGUAUUUAUUUGUUUGCUGCUGCCUUAGUGUUGUGAACGAGCCACUGGAGAGUAUAUCAGUGGAUCUAGGGUUUGCUGGGAACACCUCGGAAGAAGGGCUUGUGGUGAGCAUGUGCUUGGGUGCAGCGAAGGGCAUUUCAGUUGUCUGCUUUGCCAUCGGAAUUAAAGUUCCUUUGUCAUCGGAGCUUGUUUGAGCAUGGAAGAAUUGAUGAAGCGGGAGAUGAAUUUGAGAAACUUUUGGGAGAAUCACAUGUAAAAUCAGCAUUAGAAGAAUUGUCGCGCGCAGACAAAGGGGAUGAUACAGAGGGUGUAAAACUUUCAGAAUUACUCUAUGGUUGUCAUUUUAAAGGUAGCAUUCGACCUAAUGAUGCUUCAACAACUUGGAGGAGUAAAUGCAAUUGGAUUCUAUAAAUUAUGCAAAGUUCAUCAAGUUAUGUAAACAAUUGUAUAUGUAUAUCUAGUAUUUUGGUGAAUGUAUUAUUUGAAUAUAAUUAUAUUUG
Long non-coding RNA from Asparagus officinalis (garden asparagus), 850 nucleotides. RefSeq lists it as uncharacterized. The record is from RefSeq and is a predicted model, not a curated record. NCBI's taxonomy places the organism in Eukaryota, Viridiplantae, Streptophyta, Magnoliopsida, Asparagales, Asparagaceae. The transcript has 4 exons.